This 68-nucleotide transfer RNA is filed under the name Neotoma lepida (desert woodrat). It matches the Rfam family "tRNA". Rfam says of the family: Transfer RNA (tRNA) molecules are approximately 80 nucleotides in length. Their secondary structure includes four short double-helical elements and three loops (D, anti-codon, and T loops). The record is from Rfam by way of RNAcentral. Lineage: Eukaryota; Metazoa; Chordata; Mammalia; Rodentia; Cricetidae.
GUGAUGGCUCAGUGGUUAAGAGCACUGACUGCUCUUCCAGAGGACCUGGGUUCAAUUCCCAGCUCACA